This 262-nucleotide long non-coding RNA is filed under the name Marmota monax (woodchuck). Lineage: Eukaryota; Metazoa; Chordata; Mammalia; Rodentia; Sciuridae. The record is from RNAcentral.
UUUUUAAUACUGCUUCAUGGCUUCGUUGCAUGGCCCUUUUGUACAUUAUGUGAUAAAGUAAAGAGUACAUUUUGGGCCAAGAGCUCUAAGGAUGGACUUUGGAGCCAGAAAUGACUGGAUUUGAUUUCCUGCUUCUGCUUCUUACUGUGUACUUUUGGGUAAGCUUAAUAAAUUUAAGUGCCUUGGUUUUCCCACCUGUAAAAGGAAAUGACAGUAGUGCCUACCUCAUAAGCACUGAUGUGAGGAGUAAAUUGACUAUUUG